GCCAAUAGAGAGCCUACAUACGGGACUUCCGUCUAGAGUGGUGUCAGCCUUUGACACACCACAUGCCGCCGGCCGCCAAAACACAUAGUUGCCCGAGAGAGACGCAGCGCCAUCUUGGUCCCCACACCAGUUUGCUCUGUGCUUGCCGCCGUGAGCCUUGCAGCGGAAUCGCGUUUAAUCCUCGUCUAGGCAGCGUCGAAGGCUGUGGAAACGUGUUAAAUGCGGUCAGCGAAGCCUGAGGAGCAAAAAUGCCUGGUUGUUGCGUACCUCUGUGCACUAACCACUGCAGGAAGGGCGUGCGAAUGUUUCGCUUCCCAACCAGCCCGAGCCGAAGAAAACGCUGGCUCGCGCAAGUGAAGCGAGAGUGCUGGGAGCCCACCACCGCUUCACGUGUUUGCUAUGCUCAUUUCGAAGAUUCAAGCUUCGAACAGAAAAGGCAAGAUGGCUUGAAGAAAUUGAGGCCAGAUGCCGUUCCAACAGUUUUUGCUUUUCGAGCCGCCCCCAAACAUCGGAAGCCACCAAAGAAGCGCAGCUGUCCUGUGCAGCCUUCCUGCGAUGCCACCCCUGCAACUUCCCCGGAGCCACACCAGCCUUUAGAUAGCGAUUCGACUAAGAUGGAUGACAGUGCUCCAGUGCCAACCUUAGUUGUAGAAGAAGAAUCUUGUCAUGCCGGAAAUGAAAACGCUCAUGAAUUGACAUCUGCGCUGGCACCGUGCUUGUUCCCACAGCACCAGGCCAGUACAAUGCUCUUAUACAGCUGAAAGAGUAUGUCAAGAAUAGCGGAAAGCUCAUCCAGCCAAGCCAAACAGUGAUGCAAGUUUUAAUCGAAUGUGAGGAAAACUUUAAGACUUUCGCAAACAUGAAUGAGAUCCUGACUCUCAAAGCUCCAUUUACAGGUAUCCUGAGUGCCUUGCGGAAGUCUGUGGCUAUGAGAUUAGGGUGUUGUGAUGCGCAUGAAUCAAGGGCAUGCAAAAUGCUCCUUGAGAAGUAUGUGAGGACAAGACUUAAGAUUCAUCUCCGACAGCAGCAUGUGCAAAGGGUGAACGGACAGUCCAGCAAAACCUGUGCCGCUGCUAAUCUUAUCUGAGCCGUGUGUGGCGUCUCAGUGGUUAAUUUAAUGCUGCUGUGGUUGUGUGAUGUGUUUGCAGAAGUGUUUGACGUGUGCCUCUGGAUGUCUUUUUAACGCCUCGAGCAGGUGGGGCAUUCACUAAAAUGUUUCGCACCAAAGCUCUUUGUUCAUUGCUUAGUGUACUGAAAAACAGCAUGCUUCCAUGCGUUCUAGCUGCUAAUAUUGACUUUACCUGAAUGCAGCAUCACUAGUAUCAGAUUAACUUUCUUUAAUGCUGGUCUUUUUCGUAUGGCUGUAACAUAUUUUGUUGACAGAUAUCAUUGGCAGUCUUGAUUUCAGUGAUGUGUUGUAUCCUGCGACUGCACAGUUGUGCUGAGAAAAUAUGUGAGAAUACUUCGAAGGCGUAUUGCUAUUGCAUAAUCAGAAAGUGACUAUGUGCACCAGAAUUUAAUGGCGCAAGAAUGUAGGUUUGUAUUGAAGUUAUGUGGUAUUGUGUGCUCCGCCUGGUACAGUGGCAGUGAAAGUUUGCAUAACCGUGGUCUCCUGUGACGGCUUUACUUGAAUUUAUAUUCUUUGAACUGGCAUGAACUUUUUGGCUUUAUUACUGUUUGACUCAUGUUUUGGUGCUUGCUAUGCGACAUUUAUUAUGCACAUAUGUUGUUUAUUCAAAGCAACUAAUCUUUUCGUAUUCAUUUU
Dermacentor silvarum is the source of this 1765-nucleotide long non-coding RNA. RefSeq lists it as uncharacterized. The transcript has 3 exons. NCBI's taxonomy places the organism in Eukaryota, Metazoa, Arthropoda, Arachnida, Ixodida, Ixodidae. The record is from RefSeq and is a predicted model, not a curated record.